UCCCUGGUGGUCUAGUGGCUAAGACUCUGUGUUCCCAAUGCAGGGGGCCCAGGUUCAAUCCCUCAUCAAGGAA
This 73-nucleotide transfer RNA is filed under the name Bos taurus (domestic cattle). It matches the Rfam family "tRNA". From Rfam's summary of the family: Transfer RNA (tRNA) molecules are approximately 80 nucleotides in length. Their secondary structure includes four short double-helical elements and three loops (D, anti-codon, and T loops). The record is from Rfam by way of RNAcentral. RNAcentral also lists the same sequence under 2 other names. Lineage: Eukaryota; Metazoa; Chordata; Mammalia; Artiodactyla; Bovidae.